This 490-nucleotide small RNA is filed under the name Histoplasma capsulatum. RNAcentral describes it as "hypothetical RNA". The record is from RNAcentral. RNAcentral also lists the same sequence under 1 other name. Lineage: Eukaryota; Fungi; Ascomycota; Eurotiomycetes; Onygenales; Ajellomycetaceae.
CUCAAUAAAAAAUUACUACUUAACGAUAUUACUAAUAAGCUUGCGUGUGAGAAAAUGACGAUAACGCCGGAUGGAAUGGUGAAUUACAAUGUUGAACACUGAUUUAGAUAGUUAGUUACUUGGAUACCUUGAUUGACGUAAUAUUUUCUUUUCUUUUUGUUGUUGAGAGAGGAGAAACAAAAAAAAAUAAAAUACCCCGUUUGCAGAUAUAACCCCAACAACUACACCACACCAAUUAUAAUGCACCCAUGGAAGUUGGCAGAUCAUUGCAUAACAUAACAUUCAACUUAGGUGACUAAAACCAGAGUAGGGCACGUUACAUCUAGAACCAAAGAGUUUUUUCAAGCAGAUGCACCUUUGUCUUUUUUGUGUUUUUACAAAAAAAAAAAAUCGAAAAAAAUGAAAAAAAUGAAAAAAAUCUCUCAAUAUAUAUGAUAUAUACACAGCCUCACGACCAAAAAACAACAGGUCAGGAUGAAGAGCAGAGAAA